UUAAGCGACUAAGCGUACACGGUGGAUGCCCUGGCAGUCAGAGGCGAUGAAGGACGUGCUAAUCUGCGAUAAGCGUCGGUAAGGUGAUAUGAACCGUUAUAACCGGCGAUUUCCGAAUGGGGAAACCCAGUGUGUUUCGACACACUAUCAUUAACUGAAUCCAUAGGUUAAUGAGGCGAACCGGGGGAACUGAAACAUCUAAGUACCCCGAGGAAAAGAAAUCAACCGAGAUUCCCCCAGUAGCGGCGAGCGAACGGGGAGCAGCCCAGAGCCUGAAUCAGUAUGUGUGUUAGUGGAAGCGUCUGGAAAGGCGCGCGAUACAGGGUGACAGCCCCGUACACAAAAAUGCACAUGCUGUGAGCUCGAUGAGUAGGGCGGGACACGUGGUAUCCUGUCUGAAUAUGGGGGGACCAUCCUCCAAGGCUAAAUACUCCUGACUGACCGAUAGUGAACCAGUACCGUGAGGGAAAGGCGAAAAGAACCCCGGCGAGGGGAGUGAAAAAGAACCUGAAACCGUGUACGUACAAGCAGUGGGAGCCUCUUUUAUGGGGUGACUGCGUACCUUUUGUAUAAUGGGUCAGCGACUUAUAUUCUGUAGCAAGGUUAACCGAAUAGGGGAGCCGAAGGGAAACCGAGUCUUAACUGGGCGUUAAGUUGCAGGGUAUAGACCCGAAACCCGGUGAUCUAGCCAUGGGCAGGUUGAAGGUUGGGUAACACUAACUGGAGGACCGAACCGACUAAUGUUGAAAAAUUAGCGGAUGACUUGUGGCUGGGGGUGAAAGGCCAAUCAAACCGGGAGAUAGCUGGUUCUCCCCGAAAGCUAUUUAGGUAGCGCCUCGUGAAUUCAUCUCCGGGGGUAGAGCACUGUUUCGGCAAGGGGGUCAUCCCGACUUACCAACCCGAUGCAAACUGCGAAUACCGGAGAAUGUUAUCACGGGAGACACACGGCGGGUGCUAACGUCCGUCGUGAAGAGGGAAACAACCCAGACCGCCAGCUAAGGUCCCAAAGUCAUGGUUAAGUGGGAAACGAUGUGGGAAGGCCCAGACAGCCAGGAUGUUGGCUUAGAAGCAGCCAUCAUUUAAAGAAAGCGUAAUAGCUCACUGGUCGAGUCGGCCUGCGCGGAAGAUGUAACGGGGCUAAACCAUGCACCGAAGCUGCGGCAGCGACGCUGAUGCGUUGUUGGGUAGGGGAGCGUUCUGUAAGCCUGCGAAGGUGUGCUGUGAGGCAUGCUGGAGGUAUCAGAAGUGCGAAUGCUGACAUAAGUAACGAUAAAGCGGGUGAAAAGCCCGCUCGCCGGAAGACCAAGGGUUCCUGUCCAACGUUAAUCGGGGCAGGGUGAGUCGACCCCUAAGGCGAGGCCGAAAGGCGUAGUCGAUGGGAAACAGGUUAAUAUUCCUGUACUUGGUGUUACUGCGAAGGGGGGACGGAGAAGGCUAUGUUGGCCGGGCGACGGUUGUCCCGGUUUAAGCGUGUAGGCUGGUUUUCCAGGCAAAUCCGGAAAAUCAAGGCUGAGGCGUGAUGACGAGGCACUACGGUGCUGAAGCAACAAAUGCCCUGCUUCCAGGAAAAGCCUCUAAGCAUCAGGUAACAUCAAAUCGUACCCCAAACCGACACAGGUGGUCAGGUAGAGAAUACCAAGGCGCUUGAGAGAACUCGGGUGAAGGAACUAGGCAAAAUGGUGCCGUAACUUCGGGAGAAGGCACGCUGAUAUGUAGGUGAAGCGACUUGCUCGUGGAGCUGAAAUCAGUCGAAGAUACCAGCUGGCUGCAACUGUUUAUUAAAAACACAGCACUGUGCAAACACGAAAGUGGACGUAUACGGUGUGACGCCUGCCCGGUGCCGGAAGGUUAAUUGAUGGGGUUAGCGCAAGCGAAGCUCUUGAUCGAAGCCCCGGUAAACGGCGGCCGUAACUAUAACGGUCCUAAGGUAGCGAAAUUCCUUGUCGGGUAAGUUCCGACCUGCACGAAUGGCGUAAUGAUGGCCAGGCUGUCUCCACCCGAGACUCAGUGAAAUUGAACUCGCUGUGAAGAUGCAGUGUACCCGCGGCAAGACGGAAAGACCCCGUGAACCUUUACUAUAGCUUGACACUGAACAUUGAGCCUUGAUGUGUAGGAUAGGUGGGAGGCUUUGAAGUGUGGACGCCAGUCUGCAUGGAGCCGACCUUGAAAUACCACCCUUUAAUGUUUGAUGUUCUAACGUGGACCCGUGAUCCGGGUUGCGGACAGUGUCUGGUGGGUAGUUUGACUGGGGCGGUCUCCUCCUAAAGAGUAACGGAGGAGCACGAAGGUUGGCUAAUCCUGGUCGGACAUCAGGAGGUUAGUGCAAUGGCAUAAGCCAGCUUGACUGCGAGCGUGACGGCGCGAGCAGGUGCGAAAGCAGGUCAUAGUGAUCCGGUGGUUCUGAAUGGAAGGGCCAUCGCUCAACGGAUAAAAGGUACUCCGGGGAUAACAGGCUGAUACCGCCCAAGAGUUCAUAUCGACGGCGGUGUUUGGCACCUCGAUGUCGGCUCAUCACAUCCUGGGGCUGAAGUAGGUCCCAAGGGUAUGGCUGUUCGCCAUUUAAAGUGGUACGCGAGCUGGGUUUAGAACGUCGUGAGACAGUUCGGUCCCUAUCUGCCGUGGGCGCUGGAGAACUGAGGGGGGCUGCUCCUAGUACGAGAGGACCGGAGUGGACGCAUCACUGGUGUUCGGGUUGUCAUGCCAAUGGCACUGCCCGGUAGCUAAAUGCGGAAGAGAUAAGUGCUGAAAGCAUCUAAGCACGAAACUUGCCCCGAGAUGAGUUCUCCCUGACCCUUUAAGGGUCCUGAAGGAACGUUGAAGACGACGACGUUGAUAGGCCGGGUGUGUAAGCGCAGCGAUGCGUUGAGCUAACCGGUACUAAUGAACCGUGAGGCUUAACCUU
This 2902-nucleotide ribosomal RNA is filed under the name human gut metagenome. Its description in RNAcentral is "bacterial LSU rRNA". It matches the Rfam family "Bacterial large subunit ribosomal RNA". The record is from RNAcentral.